GCCCAGGCUGAGCACGAUGCCCCCUCAAAAGGGAGGUGAUGGAAUUAAACCACCCCCAAUCAUUGGAAGAUUUGGAACCUCACUGAAAAUUGGUAUUGUUGGAUUGCCAAAUGUUGGGAAAUCUACUUUCUUCAAUGUAUUAACCAAUAGUCAGGCUUCAGCAGAAAACUUCCCAUUCUGCACUAUUGAUCCUAAUGAGAGCAGAGUACCUGUGCCAGAUGAAAGGUUUGACUUUCUUUGCCAAUAUCACAAACCAGCAAGCAAAAUUCCUGCCUUUCUAAAUGUAGUGGAUAUUGCUGGCCUUGUGAAAGGAGCUCACAAUGGGCAGGGCCUGGGGAAUGCUUUUUUAUCUCAUUUUAGUGCUUGUGAUGGCAUCUUUCAUCUAACACGUGCUUUUGAAGAUGAUGAUAUCACACAUGUUGAAGAAAGUGUAGAUCCUAUUCGAGAUAUAGAAAUAAUACAUGAAGAGCUUCAGCUUAAAGAUGAGGAAUGACUGGGCCCAUUAUAGAUAAACUAGAAAAGGUGGCUGUGAGAGGAGGAGAUAAAAAACUAAAACCCAAAUAUGAUAUAAUGUGCAAAGUAAAAUCCUGGGUUAUAGAUCAAAAGAACCUGUUCGCUUCUAUCAUGAUUGGAAUGACAAAGAGAUUGAAGUGUUGAAUAAACACUUAUUUUUGACUUCAAAACCAAUGGUCUACUUGGUUAAUCUUUCUGAAAAAGACUACAUUAGAAAGAAAAACAAAUGUGGGGCCUUGGAACUCAAGUUGCAAGAAUUGAGUGCUGAGGAGAGACAGCAGUAUCUGGAAGCGAACAUGACACAAAGUGCUUUGCCAAAGAUCAUUAAGGCUGGGUUUGCAGCACUCCAACUAAAAUACUUUUUCACUGCAGGCCCAGAUGAAGUGCGUGCACGGACCAUCAGGAAAGGGACUAAGGCUCCUCAGGCUGCAGGAAAGAUUCACACAGAUUUUGAAAAGGGAUUCAUUAUGGCUGAAGUAAUGAAAUAUGAAGAUUUUAAAGAGGAAGGUUCUGAAAAUGCAGUCAAGGCUGCUGGAAAGUACAGACAAC
RNAcentral lists this long non-coding RNA (1062 nucleotides) under Homo sapiens (human). RNAcentral's name for it is "non-protein coding lnc-NDUFA6-1:1". The record is from RNAcentral. Lineage: Eukaryota; Metazoa; Chordata; Mammalia; Primates; Hominidae.